UGGGGAAUUUUGGACAAUGGGCGAAAGCCUGAUCCAGCAAUGCCGCGUGUGUGAAGAAGGCCUUCGGGUUGUAAAGCACUUUUGUCCGGAAAGAAAUCCUUGGCUCUAAUACAGUCGGGGGAUGACGGUACCGGAAGAAUAAGCACCGGCUAACUACGUGCCAGCAGCCGCGGUAAUACGUAGGGUGCAAGCGUUAAUCGGAAUUACUGGGCGUAAAGCGUGCGCAGGCGGUUUGCUAAGACCGAUGUGAAAUCCCCGGGCUCAACCUGGGAACUGCAUUGGUGACUGGCAGGCUAGAGUAUGGCAGAGGGGGGUAGAAUUCCACGUGUAGCAGUGAAAUGCGUAGAGAUAUGGAGGAAUACCGAUGGCGAAGGCAGCCCCCUGGGCCAAUACUGACGCUCAUGCACGAAAGCGUGGGGAGCAAACAGGAUUAGAUACCCUGGUAGUCCACGCCCUAAACGAUGUCAACUAGUUGUUGGGGAUUCAUUUCCUUAGUAACGUAGCUAACGCGUGAAGUUGACCGCCUGGGGAGUACGGUCGCAAGAUUAAAACUUAAAGGAAUUGACGGGGUCAUAGCUGUUUCCU
This 585-nucleotide ribosomal RNA is filed under the name uncultured bacterium. Its description in RNAcentral is "partial 16S ribosomal RNA". It matches the Rfam family "Bacterial small subunit ribosomal RNA", at positions 355 to 1375 of the family's 1533-position model. The record is from RNAcentral.